RNAcentral lists this ribosomal RNA (454 nucleotides) under uncultured bacterium. Its description in RNAcentral is "bacterial SSU rRNA". It matches the Rfam family "Bacterial small subunit ribosomal RNA", at positions 340 to 786 of the family's 1533-position model. The record is from RNAcentral.
UACGGGAGGCAGCAGUGGGGAAUAUUGCACAAUGGGCGCAAGCCUGAUGCAGCCAUGCCGCGUGUAUGAAAAAGGCCUUCGGGUUGUAAAGUACUUUCAGUCGUGAGGAAGGUGUUAAGGUUAAUAACCUUAGCAAUUGACGUUAGCGACAGAAGAAGCACCGGCUAACUCCGUGCCAGCAGCCGCGGUAAUACGGAGGGUGCGAGCGUUAAUCGGAAUUACUGGGCGUAAAGGGCACGCAGGCGGUUAAUUAAGUUGGAUGUGAAAUCCCCGGGCUUAACCUGGGAAUGGCAUUCAAGACUGGUUAGCUAGAGUCUUGUAGAGGGGGUAGAAUUCCAUGUGUAGCGGUGAAAUGCGUAGAGAUGUGGAGGAAUACCGGUGGCGAAGGCGGCCCCUGGGACAAAGACUGACGCUCAUGUGCGAAAGCGUGGGGAGCAAACGAGGAUUAGAUACC